Long non-coding RNA from Dicentrarchus labrax (European seabass), 976 nucleotides. RefSeq lists it as uncharacterized. The record is from RefSeq and is a predicted model, not a curated record. Lineage: Eukaryota; Metazoa; Chordata; Actinopteri; Moronidae. The transcript has 4 exons.
GUAGACAGAGUGAUAUAGAUAUAGUAGACAGAGUGAUAUAGAUAUAAUAGACAGAGUGAUAUAGACAGAGUGAUAUAGAUAUAAUAGACAGAGUGAUAUAGAUAUAGUAGACAGAGUGAUAUAGAUAUAGUAGACAGAGUGAUAUAGAUAUAGUAGACAGAGUGAUAUAGAUAUAGUAGACAGAGUGAUAUAGAUAUAGUAGACAGAGUGAUAUAGAUAUAGUAGACAGAGUGAUAUAGAUAUAAUAGACAGAGUGAUAUAGAUAUAAUAGACAGAGUGAUAUAGAUAUAAUAGACAGAGUGAUAUAGACAGAGUGAUAUAGAUAUAAUAGACAGAGUGAUAUAGAUAUAGUAGACAGAGUGAUAUAGAUAUAAUAGACAGAGUGAUAUAGAUAUAGUAGACAGAAUGAUAUAGAUAUAAUAGACAGAGUGAUAUAGAUAUAGUAGACAGAGUGAUAUAGAUAUAAUAGACAGAGUGAUAUAGAUAUAAUAGACAGAGUGAUAUAGAUAUAGUAGACAGAGUGAUAUAGAUAUAGUAGACAGAGUGAUAUAGAUAUAAUAGACAGAGUGAUAUAGAUAUAGUAGACAGAGUGAUAUAGAUAUAGUAGACAGAGUGAUAUAGAUAUAGUAGACAGAGUGAUAUAGAUAUAAUAGACAGAGUGAUAUAGAUAUAGUAGACAGAGUGAUAUAGAUAUAGUAGACAGAGUGAUAUAGAUAUAGUAGACAGAGUGAUAUAGAUAUAGUAGACAGAGUGAUAUAGAUAUAAUAGACAGAGUGAUAUAGAUAUAGUAGACAGAGUGAUAUAGACAGAGUGAUAUAGAUGUAUUAUAAUAGACAGAGUGAUAUAGAUAUAGUAGACAGAGUGAUAUAGAUAUAAUAGACAGAGUGAUAUAGAUAUAGUAGACAGAGUGAUAUAGAUAUAGUAGACAGAGUGAUAUAGACAGAGUGAUAUAGAUAUAGUAGACAGAGUGAUAUAG